This 491-nucleotide ribosomal RNA is filed under the name uncultured bacterium. RNAcentral describes it as "partial 16S ribosomal RNA". It matches the Rfam family "Bacterial small subunit ribosomal RNA", at positions 29 to 506 of the family's 1533-position model. The record is from RNAcentral.
AGUGAACGCUGGCGGUAGGCCUAACACAUGCAAGUCGAACGGCAGCACAGUAAGAGCUUGCUCUUACGGGUGGCGAGUGGCGGACGGGUGAGGAAUACAUCGGAAUCUACUUUUUCGUGGGGGAUAACGUAGGGAAACUUACGCUAAUACCGCAUACGACCUACGGGUGAAAGCAGGGGAUCUUCGGACCUUGCGCGAUUGAAUGAGCCGAUGUCGGAUUAGCUAGUUGGCGGGGUAAAGGCCCACCAAGGCGACGAUCCGUAGCUGGUCUGAGAGGAUGAUCGGCCCACGUGGAAAUGAGACCGGGUCCAGCCCCCUACGGGGGGGCGCGGGGGGGAAUUUUGGACAAUGGGCGCAAGCCUGACCCAGCCAUACCGGGGGGGUGAAGAAGGCCUUCGGGUUGUAAAGCCUUUUUGUUGGGAAAAAAAAGCAGCAGGUUAAUACCCCGCUGUUCGGACGGUACCCAAAGAAUAAGCCCCGGCUAACUUCGU